Long non-coding RNA from Capsicum annuum, 1278 nucleotides. RefSeq lists it as uncharacterized. Lineage: Eukaryota; Viridiplantae; Streptophyta; Magnoliopsida; Solanales; Solanaceae. The record is from RefSeq and is a predicted model, not a curated record. The transcript is spliced from 7 exons.
GUUCAAUUAAAGUCUUGAGAACUCGUCUAUUCUCAAUUACACCGUCCCAAAAAUUGUCAAGAGAAAUAACCCAUCCAUUGAGACGGGUUUAUUCUCAAUACACCGUCGCAACAGUUAGAAGAGAAAUAACCCAUUCGUUCCAAAGGAGACGUGUCUCGUUUGUGUUUGAAGUUGAUUGCUUUCUGUCUUAGCAAGAAGACAUUCUUGCUGAAAUUGUUGAUAUAGAGAUACCCAUUUGUUUUUCCGAAUUGAAAAUGGGUGCUGUUAAACUGCAACUUCCGUUGCCAAAAAAUGUCGAUGCAGUCACUCUGGAUCCAAAUCCUGAUUGGACCUUUGAUGCUUUGUUUGGUUGAGCUCAAUUCGAUAGAGAAGGAGAAUCUCGACAACUCUCGGCUUCAAAGGAUAAUUCUCGGAGAGCCUUUGUUAUGCAAGUGUCUGAUGAUGAUGUGGAGGAUAUGGACAGAGAUACUAGGAAUGAAGUUGGUGAUCAUUUUCUUAUGGGAGGAAAACAUUUAUGCCUGUGAUGAAAUCUGUCUGAGAAGCACUUGAUGAUCACCUAACUACCAUACAAAGGGAUCACAAACACAGAUCCCAAAUUGAAGAAAGGAGAAUAAGAGAUGAUGCAGCUCGUGAAGAGGCCAAGAGGAAAGAACAAGCUAUUCAAGAAGAAAAAGCCAGGCAAGGAUCAGAGCAGAAGCCAAGCAUACUGCUGUAAGUGCUAAUGUGCAUAUUCCUACUAAUAUCCCUGGCUUUCUUAUGAAUUCCGGCUGCUUAUUUGUCUACCCUCAUGCUGAAAGGAAAAAGUUGAAAAGGAAAAAACUGCUGCACUGGAAGCUGAGAGGAAAGCAGCAAAAGAAGCUACAGCUGCAGCUGCGGCGGAGAAGUCACCUGAGUCAUUGACAACUGUUCCUUCGGAGGCUAGCAAGGUUUCAAGGGAUGUCACUAGUAAGCCUGCGAGAUCCAUAUCUGACUGGCAGAAACAUUCAGCAGGCAUAUCUCUACGUGUAAUCUUAGUAAUGGAGUGGAGAUAGAUUUGACUGUCCUCCUCCUCCUCUUCUUUUUGUUUUUUUUUUUUUAAAUCAUUUCAAGUAAAUAUUAACUUAAACAAAAUGCUGUAUGCAUAAUCUGAGAGGAGAAAUCCUGAUCAGUGCUUUAAGUAUAAGCCAUACAAGGAUAGAUUAGUUUUGAUCCCCUAUAUUUAGAGUUGGACAUAAAUAGGCCUUUUGGCUUCGUAUUAAUGAGAACUUCUGAUCCAGGCUAUUUAGAGUUGGACAUAAA